RNAcentral lists this ribosomal RNA (255 nucleotides) under uncultured bacterium. RNAcentral describes it as "partial 16S ribosomal RNA". It matches the Rfam family "Bacterial small subunit ribosomal RNA", at positions 524 to 776 of the family's 1533-position model. The record is from RNAcentral.
UACGUAGGCAGCGAGCGUUGUUCGGAGUUACUGGGCGUAAAGGGUGUGUAGGCGGCCUAUUAAGUUUGGUGUGAAAUCUCCCGCUCAACCGGGAGGGUGCGCCGAAAACUGGGAGGCUAGAGUGCGGGAUGGGGAGAGUGGAAUUCCGGGUGUAGCGGUGGAAUGCGUAGAGAUCCGGAGGAACACCGACGGCGUAGGCAGCGCCCGUGGACGACACCCUGACGCUGAGGCACGAAAGCUGGGGGAGCGAACAGG